RNAcentral lists this transfer RNA (77 nucleotides) under Acidicapsa dinghuensis. RNAcentral describes it as "tRNA-Arg". It matches the Rfam family "tRNA". Rfam says of the family: Transfer RNA (tRNA) molecules are approximately 80 nucleotides in length. Their secondary structure includes four short double-helical elements and three loops (D, anti-codon, and T loops). RNAcentral also lists the same sequence under 2 other names. The record is from RNAcentral. Lineage: Bacteria; Pseudomonadati; Acidobacteriota; Terriglobia; Terriglobales; Acidobacteriaceae.
GGCCCCGUAGCUCAGCUGGAUAGAGCAGCGGUUUCCUAAACCGGAGGUCGCAGGUUCAAAUCCUGCCGGGGUCACCA